This 73-nucleotide transfer RNA is filed under the name Caudoviricetes sp. Its description in RNAcentral is "tRNA-Glu". It matches the Rfam family "tRNA". From Rfam's summary of the family: Transfer RNA (tRNA) molecules are approximately 80 nucleotides in length. Their secondary structure includes four short double-helical elements and three loops (D, anti-codon, and T loops). Further hydrogen bonds mediate the characteristic L-shaped molecular structure. tRNAs have two regions of fundamental functional importance: the anti-codon, which is responsible for specific mRNA codon recognition, and the 3' end, to which the tRNAs corresponding amino acid is attached (by aminoacyl-tRNA synthetases). tRNAs cope with the degeneracy of the genetic code in two manners: having more than one tRNA (with a specific anti-codon) for a particular amino acid; and 'wobble' base-pairing, i.e. permitting non-standard base-pairing at the 3rd anti-codon position. The record is from RNAcentral. Lineage: Duplodnaviria; Heunggongvirae; Uroviricota; Caudoviricetes.
GACCCCUUCGUCUAAAGGUGAGGAUAGGAGGCCUUCAACCUCCAGAUGCAGAGUUCGACUCUCGCAGGGGCCA